AACGAACGCUGGCGGCGCGCCUAAUACAUGCAAGUCGAGCGAGAAGGUGUAGCAAUACACUUGUAAAGCGGCGAACGGGUGAGGAAUACAUGGGUAAUCUACCAUCGAGUGGGGAAUAACCAACCGAAAGGUUGGCUAAUACCGCGUACGCCUCCGAGUCUUCGGGUUCGGAGGGAAAGCUGCACUGUGAGUGUAGCGCUCUUUGAUGAGCUCAUGUCCUAUCAGCUUGUUGGUAGGGUAACGGCCUACCAAGGCUUUGACGGGUAGCUGGUCUGAGAGGACGAUCAGCCACACUGGCACUGCGACACGGGCCAGACUCCUACGGGAGGCAGCAGUAAGGAAUAUUGCGCAAUGGGCGAAAGCCUGACGCAGCGACGCCGCGUGGGGGAUGAAGGUCUUCGGAUUGUAAACCCCUUUCGGGAGGGAGAUGGAGCGAGCAAUCGUUCGGACGGUACCUCCAGAAGCAGCCACGGCCAA
RNAcentral lists this ribosomal RNA (477 nucleotides) under uncultured bacterium. Its description in RNAcentral is "bacterial SSU rRNA". It matches the Rfam family "Bacterial small subunit ribosomal RNA", at positions 29 to 500 of the family's 1533-position model. The record is from RNAcentral.